Molecule: ribosomal RNA, 528 nt
Filed under: uncultured archaeon
Lineage: Archaea
Description: bacterial SSU rRNA
Rfam family: Archaeal small subunit ribosomal RNA
Source: RNAcentral
UUGAGAGAGGGAGCCCAGAGAUGGACUCUGAGACAUGAGUCCAGGCCCUACGGGGCGCAGCAGUCGCGAAAACUUCGCAAUGGGGGAAACCCCGACGAGGGAAUUCCAAGUGCCAGCACUUUGUGUUGGCUGUUCUUCUGUCUAAAAAACAGGAGAAGUAAGGGGCGGGUAAGACGGGUGCCAGCCGCCGCGGUAAUACCCGCGCCCCAAGUGGUGGUCGAUAUUAUUGAGCCUAAAACGUCCGUAGCCGGUCUUCUAAAUCCUUGGGUAAAUCGGGCAGCUCAACUGUCCGAAUUCCGGGGAGACUGGGAGACUUGGGACCGGGAGAGGUCAGAGGUACUUCUGGGGUAGGGGUAAAAUCCUGUAAUCCUGGAAGGACCACCGGUGGCGAAGGCGUCUGACUAGAACGGAUCCGACGGUGAGGGACGAAGCCCUGGGGCGCAAACGGGAUUAGAUACCCCGGUAGUCCAGGGUGUAAACGCUGCGGGCUUGGUGUUGGGGGUCCUUAGUGGGCGCCCAGUGCCGGAG